RNAcentral lists this transfer RNA (62 nucleotides) under Stenopirates sp. NKU01. RNAcentral's name for it is "tRNA-Arg". The record is from RNAcentral. Lineage: Eukaryota; Metazoa; Arthropoda; Insecta; Hemiptera; Enicocephalidae.
AAGUUUGAAGUAAAUAAUACAUUUAGUUUCGACCUAAAAUUAUGAUUAAUAAAUCCUAACUU